GAUGAACGCUGGCGGCGUGCCUAAUACAUGCAAGUCGAACGAAACUUCUUUAUCACCGAGUGCUUGCACUCACCGAUAAAGAGUUGAGUGGCGAACGGGUGAGUAACACGUGGGCAACCUGCCCAAAAGAGGGGGAUAACACUUGGAAACAGGUGCUAAUACCGCAUAACCAUAGUUACCGCAUGGUAACUAUGUAAAAGGUGGCUAUACUACCGCUUUUGGAUGGGCCCGCGGCGCAUUAGCUAGUUGGUAGGGUAAAGGCUUACCAAGGCAAUGAUGCGUAGCCGAAUUGAGAGGUUGAUCGGCCACAUUGGGACUGAGACACGGCCCAAACUCCUACGGGAGGCAGCAGUAGGGAAUCUUCCACAAUGGGCGAAAGCCUGAUGGAGCAACGCCGCGUGGGUGAAGGAGGUCUUCGGAUCGUAAAACCCUGUUGUUAGAGAAGAAAGUGCGUGAGAGUAACUGUUCACGUUUCGACGGUAUCUAACCAGAAAGCCACGGCUAACUACGUG
Molecule: ribosomal RNA, 512 nt
Filed under: uncultured bacterium
Lineage: Bacteria
Description: partial 16S ribosomal RNA
Rfam family: Bacterial small subunit ribosomal RNA
Source: RNAcentral